Molecule: unclassified non-coding RNA, 300 nt
Organism: Fukomys damarensis (Damara mole-rat)
Lineage: Eukaryota; Metazoa; Chordata; Mammalia; Rodentia; Bathyergidae
Gene: 7SK
Rfam family: 7SK RNA
About the family: 7SK was discovered as an abundant small nuclear RNA in the mid-70s but a possible function has only recently been suggested. Two independent studies have found that 7SK RNA binds the CDK9/cyclin T complex (known as elongation factor P-TEFb).
Source: Ensembl
GGAUGUGAGGGCGAUCUGGCUACGACAUCUGCCACCCCACUGAUUGCCAGGGUUCAUUUGGCUGAUCUGGCUGGCUAGGUGGGUGUCUCCUUCCUCCCUUACUGCUGCAUGUGCCUCCCUCCCCAAGCAGCUGCACUAUAGUUCGAAGAGGAUGACCACCCCAGAUAGAGGGGGGACAUUUCCUCGGUCAAGGUUAUAGGAGUACCAUCCCUCCCCUACUAGAACCUCCAAACAAGCUCUCAAGAUUUAAUGAAAUCUAAACAAAAAUCAUAAUAAAUUAUUUUUUAGAUAUUGAAAAAA